Larimichthys crocea (large yellow croaker) is the source of this 807-nucleotide long non-coding RNA. RefSeq lists it as uncharacterized. Lineage: Eukaryota; Metazoa; Chordata; Actinopteri; Sciaenidae. The transcript is spliced from 2 exons. The record is from RefSeq and is a predicted model, not a curated record.
GCUAACACACGGCUAACACACGGCUAACAUAGCCAGUGAGGUUAGCACACGGCUAACACACAGUAAACAUAACCAGUGAGGUUAGCACACGGCUAACACACAGUAAACAUAGCCAGUGAGGUUAGCACACGGCUAACACACAGUAAACAUAGCCAGUGAGGUUAGCACACGGCUAACAGAGCUAGCAUUCAGUUUAGCUAACAGACAACACAGGCUACUAUUAGCUUUCAUUUAGCACACAGGUAGCAUAGAGCUAACAGCUAGCUGUAAUAUAGCUAACGUUACACAAACGCCUGUUAGCAUUUUAGCGCUUAGCCGAGACAAAGUGUUCGACCAAUAGGAAAGAGCCACAGAGCUGAGGGGGCGUGGCUUCAGGAGGGUUUGACGAGUGAGAUCUAAAGCCAUACACACUGUGUUUGUGCGCAUGUUAUUAACUGUGUGUGUGUGUGUGUUUGUAUGUGUGUGAGUGUGUAACAUUGCAGGGAUUUGCACUCUAGUGAUUCACCUCAGCAAGACGUCCACCCACACACACACACACACACACACACUUACACACACACACACACGCAUUGCACUGCCAUUUGAAAUAGUGGGUCAGAUUAGUUUCCAUGUAGCUUCACCAACCAACCAAACUGUAUUUUUCUUUAAAGGAACAGGGAUGUUGUAAAGUAUUUUUGUACAAAUUUAAUACUUUGGUAGCAUGACGUUCCUGGUGUUUGUCCUGUCGGGCUCCACUGCUCCUCCACCCCCCGUUUGUAUGGACGACUACUGAGCAACAAUAAAGAUGAAGACCUGCUGGGAGGAUGG